This 136-nucleotide transfer RNA is filed under the name Pseudogymnoascus sp. 23342-1-I1. Its description in RNAcentral is "partial tRNA-Sec". Lineage: Eukaryota; Fungi; Ascomycota; Leotiomycetes; Thelebolales; Thelebolaceae. The record is from RNAcentral.
GAUCUGAUGGUCUAGUGGUAAGACACCGCUUCUCAACUUCCGAUUUUGGGCACUCGUGCACUCAAACCCCUUGGAUACUCGUGGGUUUGCGGAUGAGAAUCAGCGGAGAUCUCCAGUUCGAUCCUGGAUCAGACCA